RNAcentral lists this ribosomal RNA (486 nucleotides) under uncultured bacterium. RNAcentral describes it as "partial 16S ribosomal RNA". It matches the Rfam family "Bacterial small subunit ribosomal RNA", at positions 29 to 507 of the family's 1533-position model. The record is from RNAcentral.
AUUGAACGCUGGCGGCAUGCCUUACACAUGCAAGUCGAACGGCAGCACGGGGGGUAACCCCUGGUGGCGAGUGGCGAACGGGUGAGUAAUAUAUCGGAACGUGUCCUGUAGCGGGGGAUAACCUAUCGAAAGAUGGACUAAUACCGCAUACGACCUACGGGUGAAAGCGGAGGCCCGCAAGGCUUCGCACUAUAGGAGCGGCCGAUAUCGGAUUAGCUAGUUGGCGGGGUAACGGCCCACCAAGGCGACGAUCCGUAGCUGGUCUGAGAGGACGAUCAGCCACACUGGAACUGAGACACGGUCCAGACUCCUACGGGAGGCAGCAGUGGGGAAUUUUGGACAAUGGGCGCAAGCCUGAUCCAGCCAUGCCGCGUGAGUGAAGAAGGCCUUCGGGUUGUAAAGCUCUUUCGGCGGGGACGAAACGGUUCGUGCUAAUACCACGGACUACUGACGGUACCCGCAGAAGAAGCACCGGCUAACUACGUG